GACGAACGCUGGCGGCGUGCCUAAUACAUGCAAGUCGAGCGCAGGAAACUGACGGAACUCUUCGGAGGGAAGGCAGUGGAAUGAGCGGCGGACGGGUGAGUAACACGUAAGGAACCUGCCUCAAGGAUUGGGAUAACUCCGAGAAAUCGGAGCUAAUACCGGAUAGUUCAUCGGACCGCAUGGUCCGUUGAUGAAAGGCGCUCCGGCGUCACCUUGAGAUGGCCUUGCGGUGCAUUAGCUAGUUGGUGGGGUAACGGCCCACCAAGGCGACGAUGCAUAGCCGACCUGAGAGGGUGAUCGGCCACACUGGGACUGAGACACGGCCCAGACUCCUACGGGAGGCAGCAGUAGGGAAUCUUCCACAAUGGACGAAAGUCUGAUGGAGCAACGCCGCGUGAGUGAUGAAGGUUUUCGGAUCGUAAAACUCUGCUGUAAGGGAAGAACACGUACGAGAGGGAAUGCUCGUACCUUGACGGUACCUUACGAGAAAGCCACGGCUAACUACGUGCCAGCCGCCGCGGUGA
RNAcentral lists this ribosomal RNA (524 nucleotides) under uncultured bacterium. RNAcentral describes it as "partial 16S ribosomal RNA". It matches the Rfam family "Bacterial small subunit ribosomal RNA", at positions 28 to 523 of the family's 1533-position model. The record is from RNAcentral.